RNAcentral lists this ribosomal RNA (402 nucleotides) under Theileria equi. Its description in RNAcentral is "SSU rRNA". It matches the Rfam family "Eukaryotic small subunit ribosomal RNA", at positions 6 to 422 of the family's 1831-position model. Lineage: Eukaryota; Apicomplexa; Aconoidasida; Piroplasmida; Theileriidae. The record is from RNAcentral.
GGUUGAUCCCGCCAGUAGUCAUAUGCUUGUCUUAAAGAUUAAGCCAUGCAUGUCUAAGUAUAAGCUUUUAUAUGGUGAAACUGCGAAUGGCUCAUUAAAACAGUUAUAGUUUAUUUGAUGUUUGUUUCUACAUGGAUAACCGUGCUAAUUGUAGGGCUAAUACAUGCUCGGGCUGUUUACAGUUGCGUUUAUUAGACCUAAAACCUCCCCGCUUUUGCGGUGUUUCGGUGAUUCAUAAUAAAUUAGCGAAUCGCAUGGCUUUGCCGGCGAUGUAUCAUUCAAGUUUCUGACCUAUCAGCUUUGGACGGUAGGGUAUUGGCCUACCGGGGCAACGACGGGUAACGGGGAAUUAGGGUUCGAUUCCGGAGAGGGAGCCUGAGAAACGGCUACCACAUCUAAGGA